This 284-nucleotide long non-coding RNA is filed under the name Macaca nemestrina (pig-tailed macaque). RNAcentral's name for it is "lncRNA (ENSMNEG00000046118.1)". The record is from RNAcentral. Lineage: Eukaryota; Metazoa; Chordata; Mammalia; Primates; Cercopithecidae.
UUAGCUUUAAUAUGAUCUACGUAUCAAUUUUACUUUGGUUUUCCAGCUUAGAGAAGAGGACGGCAUACAAAAAAAAAUAUCUUCUGCAAAGAAAAGCACAGUCAUGUAGAGAACCUUUCCAUUCCCAAUCUGGACCCAGGCUAUUUAUUAAACUAAUCCAUGUUCUGAACUGUUAUUGCUACUGGAAAGGGGCCCGAUCCAGACCCCAAAAGAGGAUUCUUGGAUCUUGCACAAGAAAGAAAGGUGAGUCCAUAAAGUAAAGUGAAAGCAAGUUUAUUAAGAAA